UAUCUUUCACUGUUUCUUCAACUAACAGAUCCCAAAAGUUGCAUCUCUCACAAAAAUCGGAUGAUUUAUUGCCACUAAACUACCCAAACACAUUCUUGAAUCUCAUCUUUAUAUUAUAAAAAAAAACUAAAAAAACCUAACUUUCCUAUCACAAACCUACUAAUUUCACUAGCUUUCUUUCUCCACCAAGGUUUAAUUGAAUCUUGUU
Molecule: long non-coding RNA, 208 nt
Filed under: Glycine max (soybean)
Lineage: Eukaryota; Viridiplantae; Streptophyta; Magnoliopsida; Fabales; Fabaceae
Description: long non-coding RNA (GMAX_LNC000054)
Source: RNAcentral